This 477-nucleotide ribosomal RNA is filed under the name uncultured bacterium. RNAcentral describes it as "bacterial SSU rRNA". It matches the Rfam family "Bacterial small subunit ribosomal RNA", at positions 1 to 528 of the family's 1533-position model. The record is from RNAcentral.
UUAGAGUUUGAUCCUGGCUCAGAACGAACGCUGGCGGCAGGCCUCAAACAUGCAAGUCUAGGGGGCGUAGCAAUACGUCACCGGCGGACGGGUGCGUAACACGUGGGAAUGUACCUAUUGGUUCGGAACAACUGCGGGAAACUGCAGCUAAUACCGAAUGUGCCCUUCGGGGGAAAGAUUUAUCGCCAAUAGAUCAGCCCGCGUUCGAUUAGCUAGUUGGUGAGGUAACGGCUCACCAAGGCGACGAUCAGUAGCUGGUCUGAGAGGAUGAUCAGCCACAUUGGGACUGAGACACGGCCCAAACUCCUACGGGAGGCAGCAGUGGGGAAUAUUGGACAAUGGGCGCAAGCCUGAUCCAGCCAUGCCGCGUGAGUGAUGAAGGCCCUAGGGUUGUAAAGCUCUUUUGUGCGGGAAGAUAAUGACGGUACCGCAAGAAUAAGCCCCGGCUAACUUCGUGCCAGCAGCCGCGGUAAUCGC